RNAcentral lists this unclassified non-coding RNA (238 nucleotides) under fungal sp. RNAcentral's name for it is "partial contains 5.8S ribosomal RNA, internal transcribed spacer 2, and large subunit ribosomal RNA". The record is from RNAcentral. Lineage: Eukaryota; Fungi.
CGCACAUUGCGCCCCUUGGUAUUCCGGGGGGCAUGCCUGUUCGAGCGUCAUUUCAACCCUCAAGCUCUGCUUGGUUUUGAGCAUUUGCCUGCAAAGGCUGGCUCUAAAAACAAUGGCGGUACCAUUGAGUCCUGAGCGUAGUAAUACUUCUCGCUACUGGAUCUCGGUGUGUGUCUUGCCAAAACCCAAAUUUUUUCAGGUUGACCUCGGAUCAGGUAGGGAUACCCGCUGAACUUAA